UUGAACGCUGGCGGCACGCCUUACACAUGCAAGUCGAACGGCAGCACGGGAGCAAUCCUGGUGGCGAGUGGCGAACGGGUGAGUAAUAUAUCGGAACGUGCCCGGUCGUGGGGGAUAACGUAGCGAAAGCUACGCUAAUACCGCAUACGAUCUACGGAUGAAAGCGGGGGAUCGCAAGACCUCGCGCGAUUGGAGCGGCCGAUAUCAGAUUAGGUAGUUGGUGAGGUAAAGGCUCACCAAGCCGACGAUCUGUAGCUGGUCUGAGAGGACGACCAGCCACACUGGGACUGAGACACGGCCCAGACUCCUACGGGAGGCAGCAGUGGGGAAUUUUGGACAAUGGGCGCAAGCCUGAUCCAGCAAUGCCGCGUGCAGGAUGAAGGCCUUCGGGUUGUAAACUGCUUUGUACGGAACGAAACGGUGAGCUCUAAUACAGUUUGCUAAUGACGGUACCGUAAGAAUAAGCACCGGCUAACUACGUG
Molecule: ribosomal RNA, 482 nt
Filed under: uncultured bacterium
Lineage: Bacteria
Description: bacterial SSU rRNA
Rfam family: Bacterial small subunit ribosomal RNA
Source: RNAcentral